RNAcentral lists this unclassified non-coding RNA (380 nucleotides) under uncultured Acidobacteriota bacterium. Its description in RNAcentral is "uncultured Acidobacteria bacterium contains 16S-23S intergenic spacer region". Lineage: Bacteria; Pseudomonadati; Acidobacteriota. The record is from RNAcentral.
UCCGGUUUGGCACCGGCGGUCUCCGAUGAGUCCCCGGCUUUACCCGCUGGCAACAUCGGACAGGGGUUGCGCUCGUUGCGCCACUUAAGGCAACAUCUCACGACACGAGCUGACGACAGCCAUGCAGCACCUCGACUAGCGUCCCUUGCGGGAAAAGCGACUUUCGCCGACUGUCGCUAGCCGUUCGAGCCCAGGUAAGGUUCUUCGCGUUGCGUCGAAUUAAACCACAUACUCCACCGCUUGUGCGGGCCCCCGUCAAUUCCUUUGGGUUUCAGCCUUGCGACCGUACUCCCCAGGCGGGAUACUUAAUGCGUUAGCUUCGGCACGAAGGGAUUCAAUCCCCCUCACACCAAGUAUCCAUCGUUUAGGGCUAGGACUAC